GGUUAAGCGACUAAGCGUACACGGUGGAUGCCCUGGCAGUCAGAGGCGAUGAAGGACGUGCUAAUCUGCGAUAAGCGUCGGUAAGGUGAUAUGAACCGUUAUAACCGGCGAUUUCCGAAUGGGGAAACCCAGUGUGAUUCGUCACACUAUCAUUAACUGAAUCCAUAGGUUAAUGAGGCGAACCGGGGGAACUGAAACAUCUAAGUACCCCGAGGAAAAGAAAUCAACCGAGAUUCCCCCAGUAGCGGCGAGCGAACGGGGAGCAGCCCAGAGCCUGAAUCAGUGUGUGUGUUAGUGGAAGCGUCUGGAAAGGCGUGCGAUACAGGGUGACAGCCCCGUACACAAAAAUGCACAUACUGUGAGCUCGAUGAGUAGGGCGGGACACGUGGUAUCCUGUCUGAAUAUGGGGGGACCAUCCUCCAAGGCUAAAUACUCCUGACUGACCGAUAGUGAACCAGUACCGUGAGGGAAAGGCGAAAAGAACCCCGGCGAGGGGAGUGAAAAAGAACCUGAAACCGUGUACGUACAAGCAGUGGGAGCACGCUUAGGCGUGUGACUGCGUACCUUUUGUAUAAUGGGUCAGCGACUUAUAUUCUGUAGCAAGGUUAACCGAAUAGGGGAGCCGAAGGGAAACCGAGUCUUAACUGGGCGUUAAGUUGCAGGGUAUAGACCCGAAACCCGGUGAUCUAGCCAUGGGCAGGUUGAAGGUUGGGUAACACUAACUGGAGGACCGAACCGACUAAUGUUGAAAAAUUAGCGGAUGACUUGUGGCUGGGGGUGAAAGGCCAAUCAAACCGGGAGAUAGCUGGUUCUCCCCGAAAGCUAUUUAGGUAGCGCCUCGUGAAUUCAUCUCCGGGGGUAGAGCACUGUUUCGGCAAGGGGGUCAUCCCGACUUACCAACCCGAUGCAAACUGCGAAUACCGGAGAAUGUUAUCACGGGAGACACACGGCGGGUGCUAACGUCCGUCGUGAAGAGGGAAACAACCCAGACCGCCAGCUAAGGUCCCAAAGUCAUGGUUAAGUGGGAAACGAUGUGGGAAGGCCCAGACAGCCAGGAUGUUGGCUUAGAAGCAGCCAUCAUUUAAAGAAAGCGUAAUAGCUCACUGGUCGAGUCGGCCUGCGCGGAAGAUGUAACGGGGCUAAACCAUGCACCGAAGCUGCGGCAGCGACGCUUAUGCGUUGUUGGGUAGGGGAGCGUUCUGUAAGCCUGUGAAGGUGUGCUGUGAGGUAUGCUGGAGGUAUCAGAAGUGCGAAUGCUGACAUAAGUAACGAUAAAGCGGGUGAAAAGCCCGCUCGCCGGAAGACCAAGGGUUCCUGUCCAACGUUAAUCGGGGCAGGGUGAGUCGACCCCUAAGGCGAGGCCGAAAGGCGUAGUCGAUGGGAAACAGGUUAAUAUUCCUGUACUUGGUGUUACUGCGAAGGGGGGACGGAGAAGGCUAUGUUGGCCGGGCGACGGUUGUCCCGGUUUAAGCGUGUAGGCUGGUUUUCCAGGCAAAUCCGGAAAAUCAAGGCCGAGGCGUGAUGACGAGGCACUACGGUGCUGAAGCAACAAAUGCCCUGCUUCCAGGAAAAGCCUCUAAGCAUCAGGUAACAUCAAAUCGUACCCCAAACCGACACAGGUGGUCAGGUAGAGAAUACCAAGGCGCUUGAGAGAACUCGGGUGAAGGAACUAGGCAAAAUGGUGCCGUAACUUCGGGAGAAGGCACGCUGAUACGUAGGUGAAGCGACUUGCUCGUGGAGCUGAAAUCAGUCGAAGAUACCAGCUGGCUGCAACUGUUUAUUAAAAACACAGCACUGUGCAAACACGAAAGUGGACGUAUACGGUGUGACGCCUGCCCGGUGCCGGAAGGUUAAUUGAUGGGGUUAGCGCAAGCGAAGCUCUUGAUCGAAGCCCCGGUAAACGGCGGCCGUAACUAUAACGGUCCUAAGGUAGCGAAAUUCCUUGUCGGGUAAGUUCCGACCUGCACGAAUGGCGUAAUGAUGGCCAGGCUGUCUCCACCCGAGACUCAGUGAAAUUGAACUCGCUGUGAAGAUGCAGUGUACCCGCGGCAAGACGGAAAGACCCCGUGAACCUUUACUAUAGCUUGACACUGAACAUUGAGCCUUGAUGUGUAGGAUAGGUGGGAGGCUUUGAAGUGUGGACGCCAGUCUGCAUGGAGCCGACCUUGAAAUACCACCCUUUAAUGUUUGAUGUUCUAACGUGGACCCGUGAUCCGGGUUGCGGACAGUGUCUGGUGGGUAGUUUGACUGGGGCGGUCUCCUCCUAAAGAGUAACGGAGGAGCACGAAGGUUGGCUAAUCCUGGUCGGACAUCAGGAGGUUAGUGCAAUGGCAUAAGCCAGCUUGACUGCGAGCGUGACGGCGCGAGCAGGUGCGAAAGCAGGUCAUAGUGAUCCGGUGGUUCUGAAUGGAAGGGCCAUCGCUCAACGGAUAAAAGGUACUCCGGGGAUAACAGGCUGAUACCGCCCAAGAGUUCAUAUCGACGGCGGUGUUUGGCACCUCGAUGUCGGCUCAUCACAUCCUGGGGCUGAAGUAGGUCCCAAGGGUAUGGCUGUUCGCCAUUUAAAGUGGUACGCGAGCUGGGUUUAGAACGUCGUGAGACAGUUCGGUCCCUAUCUGCCGUGGGCGCUGGAGAACUGAGGGGGGCUGCUCCUAGUACGAGAGGACCGGAGUGGACGCAUCACUGGUGUUCGGGUUGUCAUGCCAAUGGCACUGCCCGGUAGCUAAAUGCGGAAGAGAUA
Molecule: ribosomal RNA, 2740 nt
Filed under: Shigella flexneri
Lineage: Bacteria; Pseudomonadati; Pseudomonadota; Gammaproteobacteria; Enterobacterales; Enterobacteriaceae
Description: partial 23S ribosomal RNA
Rfam family: Bacterial large subunit ribosomal RNA
Source: RNAcentral